AGAGUUUGAUCAUGGCUCAGGACGAACGCUGGCGGCGUGCCUAACACAUGCAAGUCGAACGAAGCUCGAAGCUCUGAGAUUUCGGUCAAGGAGCCUAGAUGACUUAGUGGCGAACGGGUGAGUAAUGCGUGAGCAACCUGCCUUUCAGAGGGGGACAACAGCUGGAAACGGCUGCUAAUACCGCAUAACACAUCGUGGGUGGCAUCACCCUGGUGUACAAAGGAG
This 225-nucleotide ribosomal RNA is filed under the name uncultured bacterium. Its description in RNAcentral is "partial 16S ribosomal RNA". It matches the Rfam family "Bacterial small subunit ribosomal RNA", at positions 8 to 210 of the family's 1533-position model. The record is from RNAcentral.